RNAcentral lists this ribosomal RNA (774 nucleotides) under uncultured Neocallimastigales. Its description in RNAcentral is "partial large subunit ribosomal RNA". It matches the Rfam family "Eukaryotic large subunit ribosomal RNA", at positions 26 to 644 of the family's 3401-position model. Lineage: Eukaryota; Fungi; Neocallimastigomycota; Neocallimastigomycetes; Neocallimastigales. The record is from RNAcentral.
CGCAUCUGUGCAUGCAGCAUAUCAAUAAGCGGAGGAAAAGAAACUAACAAGGAUUCCCCUAGUAACGGCGAGUGAAGCGGGAAGAGCUCAAAUUUGAAAUCUUAAAGGGUUUCCCUUUACGAAUUGUAGUUUAAAGAAGUGCUUUCUGUUGAGGUUCUGGUAAAAGUUCUUUGGAAUAGGACAUCAUAGAGGGUGAGAAUCCCGUAUUUGACCUUUACUUUCAACUUUGUGAUACACUUUCAAAGAGUCGGAUUGUUUGGGAAUGCAGUCCAAAAUGGGUGGUAAAUUUCAUCUAAAGCUAAAUAUUGGCGAGAGACCGAUAGCGAACAAGUACCGUGAGGGAAAGAUGAAAAGAACUUUGAAAAGAGAGUUAAACAGUACGUGAAAUUGUCAAAAGGGAAGCGUUUGACACCAGUGUUGUUUUUCUGAAAAUCAAUUAAAGAACUGUUUAUGCUAAGCUGUUUAGACUUUAUCAGCUAACUGUUUAGUUUUGAGCUUUUCUUUAAUGCACUUUUCAGUUAACAAGUCAACAUCAAUUUCUUUUGCUGUAAAAAAGCUUGAGGAAGGUGGCUUGAGAUUCGUCUUAAGUGUUUAUAGCCUCUUGCCUAUGCAGUCGGAGAGAUUGAGGUCUGCAGCGUAGAUCCUUCGGGGCUAAAUGCAUUUGUGCUAAGUUAUAGCAUUUUAUAGACAACUUGUUGACUAUGAUUUGUCUUGUAGCUUACUCGCUUAUGUUAUUUUACCUACGCUUAGGAUGUUGAAUCUGUGCGAGACUAC